GUAAUUGAAACAGGAUCCCUAAGGAAUGAGAGUCAGCAAUUACUCAACAAGCGCAAAUUCCAGCUGAAAGUAUUUGAGAUAAGCUAUAUUUUUCUUGGCAGCUCUCAAUAAACACGCUUAACAGACUCAGCCUGACGAACGCAUUACUGACUACUUGUAUUCUUUUGAAUAAGACCAACGUUAUCAUUUUGAAGAAAAUUGAAACAAGCAUAUAUUGUUGUUCGCUGCAGCAGAUACUUCCCCAGCACAUCGAGUUCCAUGACUGCAGAGAAAGAUGACAGAGAUUCCCGCUAAAACAUCAUGUGAGCAUCAACAUCCAGAAAACCUUAGAACACCCACUGACGAUGGACCUACUUGAGGACUGCAGAAAUCUGGAAUUGGUUUCCUGAUGCGGAAAAAGAAAGUUCACUCUUGCUUACCAAGUACCACUGUUUUGCAAAUAAAGGAUCGUUCAUGUUGAUGUCUA
Rhineura floridana is the source of this 466-nucleotide long non-coding RNA. RefSeq lists it as uncharacterized. Lineage: Eukaryota; Metazoa; Chordata; Lepidosauria; Squamata; Rhineuridae. The record is from RefSeq and is a predicted model, not a curated record. The transcript is spliced from 3 exons.